UUUUUUUUUUUUUUUAAUUAAUUCAGGCUAAAUGCCUUUAAUAACUGCAGAGCUGAGAAGAAAGAACUCUGCUGUAAACAGUGUUUUGAUUUCAUCUGACCCCUGCAUUAUGAGAUCAGAUCUUUAGAUACGUUGUCUGGAAAUGUAAUAGUCCUGGAUUUUUAACUCAGACACACCUGGUAGUAGGAUAUUGAACUAGCAAAAUGUGCUCAGGAAAUUCAAAGGGUAUCUGUGGUGAAAGUAAGUCAGUACCUUGCAUCUGUAUUCCUCUCUGUAGUGCCUUGGAAAGCAUAAUCCAAUAGUGCUUCCCAACAAGCAAAGUGGAAUGAAUACUUUCCUGCUUUGCAUGCCAUUCACAUGAAGAAAUCAAUUUUUCGUUUUUAAAUAUAACAUUGCACCUCCUUACAAUUUCUAAGGCUAUGUACUGCAAUUUGCUGGCACAAACAAUUGAUCCUAUAAACUUCGGCAAUAUCAGGUAACAUCUGUGGGGAUUUCAAUCAAUAAAUAAGCUCUCCUCUGCUGCUGAGCGAUUUCAACACCAUCUCACCAACAAAUGUCUUUGUUUAAUGCUGUGAAAAUGGCCAACCAUACCGUGUCACCCUAGAGUGAAAGAAAUUUGGAAUCUGAAAGCAUGGGCAGUGGAGAACCAUGCACUAUAAUUAAUUCCCUGGAGCACUCUCUAUCAGUGGGUUUGUGGAUAACCAUACAGGUAAGAACUUCUGCCUCCUGGGAUCUAAUCUCAGAGACACUGAACAGGGAUAUUUGGAGUCUACAAUAGGAAGCAACUUCACACUAGUCCCAAAAAGAGGAUCAGAGUGGUAAUCUCAACAUAUGGGGCUGCCAGAUUUCCCAACUGUACGGAAGACACGAGUGCCUUUUUCUGUGCCAGAGUUAAGGUGCUUGCUCUGAUAAUGAGCACUAGGGAGUUGAUUAGAUCUCUAGAAAGAAGACAGCAGCUUGGAGAAAAAGCUUUUGGGAAUUUUCCUCUUCUGUACUAAGUCUUGGCUUGAGUGACAUUGUUGAUGUCCGGUUGAAUGCAGCCAGGGGACAAGAGGGGGUUAUGAGAUGGGUGGAUCUGCCUUUAUCAGAAGGCAUUUUACAACAAUUCCGUUUGAAAGCAAUAAAAUAAAUCUUUCUGCAUGUAACUAUUUGAGUUUUCUUUUUAAGGCUUUAGACUUCUUCAGAAAUUAGGCUUUUAGUUGAGCUAGAGAGGUGGUCAGCUGUGUUCUGUCUUUCUCGGGAAGAGGAACCUAAAAAACAAAUACUAAAAUUUUGGUGUGGGUUUGGUUCUUUUGAGGUUUAUUUUUGGGGGUUUUUUUGACCAAUAUUUUAGCACUUCUCCCUGUCCUAUGCUGGGCUGCUGUAAAUUGUAUUGUCCCAGCUGCUCUGUACAGGCUCCCUUCCCCAUGAAACAACCUUCUACUACUCUGUUUUGUCCCUACAACCAGGUUUAACUCCCCUGGAAUGGAUGAAGUAAAUCAAGGAUCAACUCACUAGAUGCUUUUGCUUCAGCUUAGAGAUGGUUUGUUGCUCUUUAAAGGGGGCAGUGAACACCCUUCAAAUUUUGUUAAAAUAUAUUUUAACAUAAAAUGUACUAAACAAAAAGAUUAGAGCAGGCAGUUCUCCAAAUUCUGUUCCUGUUUCACUCCAUGCACCAACUUCAGCUUGGAACAUAGAUGCAUUACUAGGAUGAGAUGUUGUUGUUUUGAUUGUUUAGUGCUGAAUUUUACUAAAGGCGCCAGCUGUCAGUGGUAAGUGGGUUUCUGGUCUGAGAGAAAAGUCUGCAAGAGUAUACCUUGUUAGGGCACCUAUCAGCUCCCCAUGGAUUCACCUUAUCUAAUCAACUGUUUGGAAAAACACUGUAGUCAGUUCCUGUGGAGCUGAUAUAACUGUCAAAGAUAUUGGCAUAUAUUAAUACAAUUGCCAUGUCCAUUCCCAGACACUGAUUCCAUAAACGGUAUGCUAAAUCUCUUCUUUAGACGCUUGUGUGGGGAGAUUUUAUUAUUUAUUAAGAGGGUCAAAGUAGAAGAUGGGGAAACUGAAACCCUUCGGACCACAGCACCAGUCCUGGAAGGGGUUUGAAUCCCGUGGGUGCUCCCAGCAUCGUUGGCACCAUCCAGCUGGCUGGGGCUGAUACUAAGAAUAUCAGUUAGUGAUAUGCGGGGAAAAUUGUUUUACAGGAGCACCUGCAGGCUGCAGCCAAGAACUGUGCAGAUGCUGACUGUGUAAGUAUUGUGCACAUCCUGAGGCACAGUCUCUGCCCUCAGUAUGCAGUAUAGGCAAAGGCAACAGACGAAGGGCAUAUACACAGAGAGGGUGGCAGAAAUACUAUCUCUCUUUAGCAGAUGAGGGACUAUACAAUCUUAAGGCCAGAACGCUAGCAACUGAACACCAGGGUCAGAUUCCCAUAAAAGGAAUUGUUUAUCAAUGUUUUUCAUUUGUAAGUAGCAUCUUCAUUCAGGAAGAGAAAGGAAUAGUGCUGCAUCUGAAUGAAAAUCCUUAGGUGUUAUGGCAAUGUAUUAAAACAUAGCACAUCCGAGUGUUUGUCAAAUACAAUAUGCAAGUGGCUAAUGCUGCAGUCAAAUGCAUUUUCCAAGGAAUCAGCUGCUUUCUUAUUGCAUUUAUCAAAUAUAUCUCCAUGGAAUGAUAUUUUCUAAGACAUGAAUCAACACAACAUAUGUUAUAGUGCUUCAGCUUUGUUUUCAUAAUGAAAAGAGCUGCUUUAAUAGCAUCUGUUGUAGGGCUAGGAACAUAUCCUGCCACAGUUUCUCAGUAAAAAACCUCCAAUUUCAAGCCAAAGAACUUGGAUCUGGGUUUAAAGGAAUGGGCAGGCUAGUCUGCUCUCCUCUCCUUUCUUUAAUUAUUUAUCAGAGUUAACACAAAAGAAUAGCAAAGGAAACACUCAAAAAAUUCUGUGUCAUUUUGGGAUACAUAUUUUCUUUUUAAACCAGCAAGGAAUUUUGGCUACAAAGUCCUAUUGAAGUAAUUUUUUUUUUAUUUUUCACUUAGGGUUGUAUCUUGCUAGGCUGCAGUUGUCUUCUCAAAUGUACAUUGUAGAUUAUCUUCCUUUGAAAGAAGAGUAAAAUGAAAACUUGCUGUAUUGGGACUUGGUAAACAGCCUCUAAUCUAAUUUAUAUUACGGGGCACCAAUUACUGGGGAAUUCAUAUGCUACUAAAUGUCAGUUCCACUCUUGUCCUAGCAAUGAAAAAAAAAAUCCGUAAGUCAUUCUAAUCAUGACAAUGCCACACUGAAAAAUCUCCUUAUUGCUCUUCCACAAUUCCCUUGAUAACUGGGACCUUUUCAAUGUCCUUCUAUUCUUACCACUGCCCCGCAGUAGAAGGAGGUAGCAGAUGUUUGAGUUUUAAUUUCUUUCUCUAGGACCAGUAACAAAAACAUAAUGGCAGAAGGUUUGACUAGAUUUCUUUCCUUUUGACCCACUAAGGUACACGGAGGUACAGAAAAAAAAGCAGUUAGGAUCAAGAGAUUGCAUUGGGUUUUUAGCCGCUCUAAAUACUCUAGCUGUGGUUAAUAUUUCAUAGUUCCAUGCAGUGUGGUAAACACAAAGGUGUGUGAUGAGUGGUACCUGAUCCAAACAGCUUCAGUCUAAAUCAGACCCAUGGGGAUUUGACAGGAAAAGGGGAAAGAAGGAAGAUGUCUGAAGACAACAGAGAGGGCUUUUAGGGCAAUAAAUCAUGAAUUACACUAGCCUCUGCUUCCUCAGUUUGGUUUUACAAUUCUUACAAGCAGAACUGUAGUCAAGUUUAUUCAAAUAAAAGCUAACCCCAGCACAGAGAAUACCCUUUGAAAUCCCCUAUUUAUUCAAUAGAUAAGGGUAUGUGAACCCUUAUGCUUUGGUGAUGGGUAUUGAAAUGCUCGGAUUGAUACAUUUUCCCAUAUAUAAAAAUAGAGAAGGAAAAUAUAAAACUUUGACGUAUAAAAGGAUGUUAAACUAGAAACAUAAUUUAAAAGAACAAUGCCAGUGCUUGAGUGUCUGGCAAUUUCUGUUUCAUGAAUUGUAAUCUUUGAUGGCGGGCAGGGAGGAGAGAUCAUUUCAAGUCAGUGAAGCAACAGAGAAAAUUUCUGAUGAAAACCCAGGUUGGCUUGAAGAUACUUUUAGAUCUUUGUGACUCAUGCUGGCAAGGUCUGAAGACUUUUUGUGUCAGCGAGAACUUAGGACCUUGCCUGGUCAUCCUCCAGAAAUGACUCUUCUGGGGCUGAUAGGGUGAAUGGAGUAAGCCACUGCCUGGAGACACAGGCUAACUAUGUGCUAACACAGUCAGAUCAGCCCAUAGGCAAUAUCUCCUACCCACCACCUACUAGGAUAUCUACUAUAUGGAUGUGUGAGUACGCAGUCACAAGUAAGGCAGUCUUGUCUGUCAGGUGCAUAUAAUCCCUUCUAUAGGAAGAGACAAAUGGUUCCUGCCUCAUCAUAGGAUGGGAAGAGGCAGAUACCUGAUACACAGCCCAUGAUAAACACAGAUUUUGCCUCUUCACCAAGACACUUUCCUUGUUCCUUUUUCUUGUGUUAGCUUGCAUCAUCCUCACAGAGCACAACACUUCCAGCAGGCAGAAAGGUCAUGCGUCUGGCCCCAGCUAAACAGUCCCCAGCAUUUUUCUACUGCCCUGGUGUUAAGUUUCUUGGAGAACAUCCUGCCAUGCUGAUAGCAAAGAUGACAGCAGUGUCUGCUUACUAAAAUGGGGAUGGUGAAGACUAAAUUUGAGCCAAGGAUGUGCCACAGAGCUCAAUAGAGCUACCUGUUCCUGCCCCUCUUCUCACUGGAAUUCUUGUCGUUGAGGUGUUUCUGCUCUUUCAUACAUCCAUGCUGAUGAGGAAAGCAAAACAAACUUUAAAAAGGCAGUGUGGGUUGUAUUCAAGACUAUUCUGGCAGCAAGCUUAUGUACUAGAUGGACACAAAUACAAAAAAAUCCCCCAAACACAUUUUUUGUUUGUAGUUCUGGUUUUUUGUUUUAAGGGUUUUUUUGUUUGGUUUUGUUGUUUGUUUAGUUUUUUUUCCCUAGAGAAUAUUAUUCUCUAUGUUGCUGUGUUGUAUUUAAUACACUAAGCAUCCCAAGUAAUGAUGCAAUUUUGACAACAUUUUAAUUCACUGAUGAAGUAAUGUUGCUUCUGAAAACCUGGAACAUGUGGCAUAUUCUCACUUGUAAUCUCCAUUGCAUGAAGCUCUAUAAGCUCACUUACCAAACCCCUAGUCAUCUGCACCCCUUAGCAUUCCCGUAUCAAUAUAAUAUGAAAUGGCUGACCUUCAGACAGCAAUACCUAUUCUGUGCUUUGCUGUAAAUCUGAGGUCUGUUUUAUUAUUAGCUUAUAGAAGUUGUCCCUUAAUAAACACUGAAGUCUUCUGAAAGGGGAAAAGAUGUCAGUCUGGUCCUUUUGACCUGUAGAAGACAUGUAAAUUUACUCAUACUAACUGGAAAGCAACCACUGCAGACAUAAAACCUAAUCCCUUGAAAUAUCAUGUUUGCUCAGUAACAAAGAAAAUUAUGUCUAGGGACACCAAGCAUCAGUUUUAAUUCACAAGCGUAUGUUUUCUAAAUAUAAGGAGCAGCUUUCUCCCUCAUAGUUAAAAAUACAACUAUGUUACCUAUACGAUCCAAUGGACAGCUGUAGCAAACAGAGGUCUGGACUGUACUGGCAGUAACAGAUGAGGCAGUGGCACCAUGCCCAGCUACUCAGGCAGCUGGCUUUUCUAGAUUGGAUUUACCCAUCAGGGGAGUAGAUGUGGGUUCAGUGAGAAGGCAGUCAUUCUGUUAAUUCUCUGUACUGCUAGACC
This is a long non-coding RNA of Strigops habroptila (Kakapo), 5790 nucleotides long. The record is from Ensembl. Lineage: Eukaryota; Metazoa; Chordata; Aves; Psittaciformes; Psittacidae.